AAAGUCGUAACAAGGUUUCCGUAGGUGAACCUGCGGAAGGAUCAUUAUUGAAUGAACUUGGUGUGGUUGUUGCUGGCCUUCUUUGGGGGCAUGUGCACACCCACCAUCCUCAUCUCUCCACCUGUGCACAUCUUGUAGAUUUGGAUUGACUUUCCGAGGCAACUCGGUCGGGAGGACUGCUGGCGCUAGCUAGCUUUCCUUGCAUUUCCAAGUCUAUGUUUUUCAUAUACCCCAUUGUAUGUAACAGAAUGUAACACUAGGCCUUUGUGCCUAUAAAACUUAUACAACUUUCAGCAACGGAUCUCUUGGCUCUC
Molecule: unclassified non-coding RNA, 314 nt
Filed under: Basidiomycota sp.
Lineage: Eukaryota; Fungi; Basidiomycota
Description: partial contains small subunit ribosomal RNA, internal transcribed spacer 1, and 5.8S ribosomal RNA
Rfam family: Eukaryotic small subunit ribosomal RNA (bases 1-47)
Source: RNAcentral